UUCUCCGACUCUGCCCUCCCAG
This 22-nucleotide microRNA is filed under the name Eptesicus fuscus (big brown bat). RNAcentral describes it as "efu-miR-9280". The record is from miRBase by way of RNAcentral. Lineage: Eukaryota; Metazoa; Chordata; Mammalia; Chiroptera; Vespertilionidae.